GGUUAAAUGGCUGAAAUUUAGGUGAUAGACUGUAAAUUUAUUUAUGAGAAAUUAUAUUCUCUUUAACCA
This 69-nucleotide transfer RNA is filed under the name Heterostomus curvipalpis. Its description in RNAcentral is "tRNA-Tyr". It matches the Rfam family "tRNA". Rfam says of the family: Transfer RNA (tRNA) molecules are approximately 80 nucleotides in length. Their secondary structure includes four short double-helical elements and three loops (D, anti-codon, and T loops). Lineage: Eukaryota; Metazoa; Arthropoda; Insecta; Diptera; Xylophagidae. The record is from RNAcentral.